UCGGGAUAGCUCAGUUGGUAGAGCAGAGGACUGAAAAUCCUCGUGUCCA
RNAcentral lists this transfer RNA (49 nucleotides) under Sparrmannia sp. Winter s.n. RNAcentral describes it as "partial transfer RNA-Phe". Lineage: Eukaryota; Viridiplantae; Streptophyta; Magnoliopsida; Malvales; Malvaceae. The record is from RNAcentral.